This 1522-nucleotide ribosomal RNA is filed under the name Salmonella enterica. RNAcentral's name for it is "bacterial SSU rRNA". It matches the Rfam family "Bacterial small subunit ribosomal RNA". The record is from RNAcentral. RNAcentral also lists the same sequence under 1 other name. Lineage: Bacteria; Pseudomonadati; Pseudomonadota; Gammaproteobacteria; Enterobacterales; Enterobacteriaceae.
AGAGUUUGAUCAUGGCUCAGAUUGAACGCUGGCGGCAGGCCUAACACAUGCAAGUCGAACGGUAACAGGAAGCAGCUUGCUGCUUUGCUGACGAGUGGCGGACGGGUGAGUAAUGUCUGGGAAACUGCCUGAUGGAGGGGGAUAACUACUGGAAACGGUGGCUAAUACCGCAUAACGUCGCAAGACCAAAGAGGGGGACCUUCGGGCCUCUUGCCAUCAGAUGUGCCCAGAUGGGAUUAGCUUGUUGGUGAGGUAACGGCUCACCAAGGCGACGAUCCCUAGCUGGUCUGAGAGGAUGACCAGCCACACUGGAACUGAGACACGGUCCAGACUCCUACGGGAGGCAGCAGUGGGGAAUAUUGCACAAUGGGCGCAAGCCUGAUGCAGCCAUGCCGCGUGUAUGAAGAAGGCCUUCGGGUUGUAAAGUACUUUCAGCGGGGAGGAAGGUGUUGUGGUUAAUAACCGCAGCAAUUGACGUUACCCGCAGAAGAAGCACCGGCUAACUCCGUGCCAGCAGCCGCGGUAAUACGGAGGGUGCAAGCGUUAAUCGGAAUUACUGGGCGUAAAGCGCACGCAGGCGGUCUGUCAAGUCGGAUGUGAAAUCCCCGGGCUCAACCUGGGAACUGCAUUCGAAACUGGCAGGCUUGAGUCUUGUAGAGGGGGGUAGAAUUCCAGGUGUAGCGGUGAAAUGCGUAGAGAUCUGGAGGAAUACCGGUGGCGAAGGCGGCCCCCUGGACAAAGACUGACGCUCAGGUGCGAAAGCGUGGGGAGCAAACAGGAUUAGAUACCCUGGUAGUCCACGCCGUAAACGAUGUCUACUUGGAGGUUGUGCCCUUGAGGCGUGGCUUCCGGAGCUAACGCGUUAAGUAGACCGCCUGGGGAGUACGGCCGCAAGGUUAAAACUCAAAUGAAUUGACGGGGGCCCGCACAAGCGGUGGAGCAUGUGGUUUAAUUCGAUGCAACGCGAAGAACCUUACCUGGUCUUGACAUCCACAGAACUUUCCAGAGAUGGACUGGUGCCUUCGGGAACUGUGAGACAGGUGCUGCAUGGCUGUCGUCAGCUCGUGUUGUGAAAUGUUGGGUUAAGUCCCGCAACGAGCGCAACCCUUAUCCUUUGUUGCCAGCGGUCAGGCCGGGAACUCAAAGGAGACUGCCAGUGAUAAACUGGAGGAAGGUGGGGAUGACGUCAAGUCAUCAUGGCCCUUACGACCAGGGCUACACACGUGCUACAAUGGCGCAUACAAAGAGAAGCGACCUCGCGAGAGCAAGCGGACCUCAUAAAGUGCGUCGUAGUCCGGAUUGGAGUCUGCAACUCGACUCCAUGAAGUCGGAAUCGCUAGUAAUCGUGGAUCAGAAUGCCACGGUGAAUACGUUCCCGGGCCUUGUACACACCGCCCGUCACACCAUGGGAGUGGGUUGCAAAAGAAGUAGGUAGCUUAACCUUCGGGAGGGCGCUUACCACUUUGUGAUUCAUGACUGGGGUGAAGUCGUAACAAGGUAACCGUAGGGGAACCUGCGGUUG